UACGGGGGGGGCGAGCGUUGUUCGGAAUUACUGGGCGUAAAGGGCUCGUAGGCGGCCAACUAAGUCAGACGUGAAAUCCCUCGGCUUAACCGGGGAACUGCAUCUGAUACUGGAUGGCUUGAGAUUGGGAGAGGGAUGCGGAAUUCCAGGUGUAGCGGUGAAAUGCGUAGAUAUCUGGAGGAACACCGGUGGCGAAGGCGGCAUCCUGGACCAACACUGACGCUGAGGAGCGAAAGCCAGGGGAGCAAACGGG
RNAcentral lists this ribosomal RNA (253 nucleotides) under uncultured bacterium. RNAcentral describes it as "partial 16S ribosomal RNA". It matches the Rfam family "Bacterial small subunit ribosomal RNA", at positions 524 to 776 of the family's 1533-position model. The record is from RNAcentral.